Molecule: transfer RNA, 87 nt
Filed under: Candidatus Peregrinibacteria bacterium CG_4_9_14_0_2_um_filter_53_11
Lineage: Bacteria; Candidatus Peregrinibacteriota
Description: tRNA-Leu
Rfam family: tRNA
About the family: Transfer RNA (tRNA) molecules are approximately 80 nucleotides in length. Their secondary structure includes four short double-helical elements and three loops (D, anti-codon, and T loops). Further hydrogen bonds mediate the characteristic L-shaped molecular structure. tRNAs have two regions of fundamental functional importance: the anti-codon, which is responsible for specific mRNA codon recognition, and the 3' end, to which the tRNAs corresponding amino acid is attached (by aminoacyl-tRNA synthetases). tRNAs cope with the degeneracy of the genetic code in two manners: having more than one tRNA (with a specific anti-codon) for a particular amino acid; and 'wobble' base-pairing, i.e. permitting non-standard base-pairing at the 3rd anti-codon position.
Source: RNAcentral
GCCCAGGUGGCGGAACUGGUAGACGCGCUACGUUCAGGGCGUAGUGGGAGCAAUCCCGUGGAGGUUCAAGUCCUCUCUUGGGCACCA